RNAcentral lists this transfer RNA (66 nucleotides) under Dreissena rostriformis. RNAcentral's name for it is "tRNA-Lys". It matches the Rfam family "tRNA". Rfam says of the family: Transfer RNA (tRNA) molecules are approximately 80 nucleotides in length. Their secondary structure includes four short double-helical elements and three loops (D, anti-codon, and T loops). Lineage: Eukaryota; Metazoa; Mollusca; Bivalvia; Myida; Dreissenidae. The record is from RNAcentral.
UCCUUAAUAGCUUAUAAUAAAGCAAUGAGCUUUUAACUCGUAUAAGGGAUUUAUUCUCUUAAGGAA